GAUGAAGAACGUAGCGAAAUGCGAUAAGUAAUGUGAAUUGCAGAAUUCAGUGAAUCAUCGAAUCUUUGAACGCACAUUGCGCCCUCUGGUAUUCCGGGGGGCAUGCCUGUUCGAGCGUCAUUACAACCCUCAAGCUUUGCUUGGUAUUGGACAUUGCCAGUUUCUGGCAGGUCUUAAAAUCAGUGGCGGUACCAUUUGGCUUCAAGCGUAGUAAUUCUUCUCGCUUUGGAGAUCCAGGUGGUUACUUGCCAAUAACCCCCAAUUUUUUCAGGUUGACCUCGGAUCAGGUAGGGAUACCCGCUGAACUUAAGCAUAUCAAAAGCGGAGGA
RNAcentral lists this unclassified non-coding RNA (329 nucleotides) under soil metagenome. RNAcentral describes it as "partial contains 5.8S ribosomal RNA, internal transcribed spacer 2, and large subunit ribosomal RNA". The stretch from base 1 to 120 matches the Rfam family "5.8S ribosomal RNA", at positions 35 to 154 of the family's 154-position model. The record is from RNAcentral.